CAGCGUGCUGACCUCAGACAGGAGGGUCCCGCCCAGUGGGCCGUCCUUCUCUGGAGUUUUACCUGAGAGGAGGAAGAAAACAAGGAGGUGUCACUCUGCUGCUGUUUCUGGGAACUGAAAACACAAAUUCUAACUUAAGGUGGAGAAGGACGAGGAGUCCAGGGCGUCCCGGGGAAGGAGCUCAGUUUCUGGGGACGGAGGCCCAUUGGGGACAAAAACGUUGUCGUGGUAAUCGCCAGUGAGCGGGAGAGAGAGUCUGGCCAUCCAGGCCGGGUCGUUGACCUCCGAGAAGACGUCAUCUGUAGGAAGAGAGAGAACAGUUACACAUAGAGCCUUCGUUGGGGACUAUUUUCAGCAGCGGAUUAAUCCACAUUUUGAGCGUUGUUGAGCAGGUUGUUGAGCCCCUCCUCCAGCUGUGGGUCUAUGGGUGAGUCUCUUCCUGGUUCCCAGUCCACAUCUCCAGCCUCGCUUUCACCGUGUCCACUGUCUUUGGUGCUCUGCCAAUCAGAACA
Seriola aureovittata is the source of this 512-nucleotide long non-coding RNA. RefSeq lists it as uncharacterized. NCBI's taxonomy places the organism in Eukaryota, Metazoa, Chordata, Actinopteri, Carangiformes, Carangidae. The record is from RefSeq and is a predicted model, not a curated record. The transcript is spliced from 4 exons.